This 155-nucleotide ribosomal RNA is filed under the name Cunninghamella intermedia. RNAcentral describes it as "5.8S ribosomal RNA". It matches the Rfam family "5.8S ribosomal RNA". From Rfam's summary of the family: 5.8S ribosomal RNA (5.8S rRNA) is a component of the large subunit of the eukaryotic ribosome. It is transcribed by RNA polymerase I as part of the 45S precursor that also contains 18S and 28S rRNA. Functionally, it is thought that 5.8S rRNA may be involved in ribosome translocation. The record is from RNAcentral. Lineage: Eukaryota; Fungi; Mucoromycota; Mucoromycetes; Mucorales; Cunninghamellaceae.
CAACUUUCAGCGAUGGAUCUCUCGGCUUUCGUAUCGAUGAAGAACGCAGCAAAUCGCGAUAUUUAAUGUGAUCUGCCUAUAGUGAAUCAUCAAAUCUUUGAACGCAUCUUGCACCUUAUGAUAUUCCAUAAGGUACAUCUGUUUCAGUACCAACU